GUGGGGAAUAUUGGACAAUGGGCGAAAGCCUGAUCCAGCAAUGCCGCGUGAGUGAUGAAGGCCUUAGGGUUGUAAAGCUCUUUUACCCGGGAUGAUAAUGACAGUACCGGGAGAAUAAGCUCCGGCUAACUCCGUGCCAGCAGCCGCGGUAAUACGGAGGGAGCUAGCGUUGUUCGGAAUUACUGGGCGUAAAGCGCACGUAGGCGGCUUUGUAAGUUAGAGGUGAAAGCCUGGAGCUUAACUCCAGAACUGCCUUUAAGACUGCAUCGCUUGAAUCCAGGAGAGGUGAGUGGAAUUCCGAGUGUAGAGGUGAAAUGCGUAGAUAUUCGGAAGAACACCAGUGGCGAAGGCGGCUCACUGGACUGGUAUUGACGCUGAGGUGCGAAAGCGUGGGGAGCAAACAGGAUUAGAAACCCUAGUAGUCC
This 425-nucleotide ribosomal RNA is filed under the name uncultured bacterium. Its description in RNAcentral is "partial 16S ribosomal RNA". It matches the Rfam family "Bacterial small subunit ribosomal RNA", at positions 354 to 796 of the family's 1533-position model. The record is from RNAcentral.